Molecule: non-coding RNA, 72 nt
Organism: Phrynosoma platyrhinos (Desert horned lizard)
Lineage: Eukaryota; Metazoa; Chordata; Lepidosauria; Squamata; Phrynosomatidae
Source: the annotation of a GenBank genome assembly
GCCAGCAUGAUGUAGUGGUUUGAGUGUUGGACUAUGGCUGUAGAAACCUGGGUUUGAAUCCCAGUUCAGCCA